This is a long non-coding RNA of Talpa occidentalis (Iberian mole), 1506 nucleotides long. RefSeq lists it as uncharacterized. Lineage: Eukaryota; Metazoa; Chordata; Mammalia; Eulipotyphla; Talpidae. The record is from RefSeq and is a predicted model, not a curated record. The transcript is spliced from 3 exons.
CGAGUUCCACAUAAACUGCGCCGCCUGAAGUUUCAAACGCUUAGAACUACCGAACCUGGCGUUUCCGUGACAACGGUGACGGCUAAAGGCUCCAGCCUAGCGUCCCGGCCAACAACUUCCUCGCUUCGCUCCGCCAGCUGCGAACGCGAGCUGCUUCGGGAUUUCCUGGUAUCGCGAGACUUCUUGGGCCCUGUUCGGGCGCUGGCGCAGAAAAUGGAGCCCGCGGGAGUGGCCCACAGCUAGAGGCUCCGCUCCUGGCCUCCCCUGCCAGGGGGAGAAGCGGAGAAAUGGGCGGGGCCAUGAAAUAGAAGCGGGUGAACGCAAGGGGAGCUAUCGAGGCGGGGCUACGAGGACUAUUUGCAUAAGCCCCGCCCAUCUAGGGGCGUUCCCCGAAAGAGCGUCCUCAGCGCUAUGAAAGUGCGUGCGCGGCGUUUCUCUUUCUUUUGCAUCCGGGGAGCGUGUGUCUGUGGUGGUUCGCCUUGGCGUUUUGUGCGCCAAAACAAAUAAGAAACCUGCUAUAGGAUUUUUUACUUGGCUAAAAUGCAAAGGACUCAGACGUCUUGGGCUGCCAGAUGGCGCUCAGCUUUUAAAAGCCCUGGGUGGGACGGCCAGGGCCGACUUAGCGCGUUAGGCCGUCGGCGGCCACGUGCUGCCCUGGGCGCUGAGCCCGCGAGCGCGAUGGGCCCCGGGCCUUCGGGGUGAGCUAACACGCUGCCAGGAACGCCGAGGAAGAGUGUCCUUCCGCCUUCCAUCUGCGCCACCUUAGUUGUAUGGUAACGUGUCCUGAUGGCCGCCGUUGGAGCCCGUUGGGUGCGGCGUUACUGGGAAAAUAUCUAAACACUGUUCCAAUGUUUUUAGGAAGCCGAGCUCCGAUGGGUGAUGGAAAUUAAAACAAGACAAGAAUUCUGGGUGACAGGGCCUCCCUGGUGGCGCAGCGGUUGAGCGCUGAGUUGUGAAGCUGCCCGCAGCCUCUGCAGCGCCGGUUCGAUCCCUGGCUGCUCCCCGGCCACCGCAGGAGGGUCCCACAUGGCGCGCAGACCUCUCCUGCCGUCCGCUGCUCCCCUCAGCAGUGUACUUCGGUCCUUCUGCCUGCUCUGCUCUCCGCUCUGGCUCUGGUGAAUUCUCUCACCCUCCCGCGCUUCUGACUGUACCCGGUGCUUGUAUACAUAAAUAAAUAAAUCUUAAAAAAAAAAGAAAUAUUUAAAAAAAAAAAAUUCUGGGUGACGUCUUGAUCAGUAUCCUGCAUACAGUACCUGUGAUUUGUGAUUUUAAAUCUCACCAGGGGAGUGACUGCUGAUGUUAUGAAGACUACUCUGGCUGUAUUUUAAAUGCAAAUGUCUAAAUAAACUGUACUAUUUAAAUAGUGGUUCAUUGUUACAAUUGUAAAAUGGUAUUUGGUGUACCUUCACUCGGUAAAUACAAGGAACAGCAAACAUUACCUUGGAAUUCCAGUAUUGUAAGGGUGUUUUCAGCAUUUGGGGAAUCUAAAACAUGUCAACCCUAGAA